This 474-nucleotide ribosomal RNA is filed under the name Chromadorida environmental sample. RNAcentral describes it as "SSU rRNA". It matches the Rfam family "Eukaryotic small subunit ribosomal RNA", at positions 91 to 569 of the family's 1831-position model. Lineage: Eukaryota; Metazoa; Nematoda; Chromadorea; Chromadorida. The record is from RNAcentral.
GAAUAGCUCAUUACAACAGCCAUAGUUUAUUGGAUCUUGACUUCCUACUUGGAUACCUGUGGUAAUUCUAGAGUUAAUACACGCACCCAAGCUCCAACCUCCGGGCGGAGCGCAUUUAUUAGAACAAAACCAAUCGGGCUCCGCCGUAAUUUGGUGAAUCUGAAUAACUCAGCUGAUCGCAUGGUCCUCGCACCUUCGACGUAUCUUUCAAGUGUCUGCCUUAUCAACUUUCGAUGGUAGUUUAUGUGCCUGAAUGGUUGUAACGGGUAACGGAGAAUAAGGGUUCGACUCCGGAGAGGGAGCCUGAGAAAUGGCUACCGAUCCAAGGAAGGCAGCAGGCGCGCAAAUUACCCACUCUCAGACNAGGAGGUAGUGACGAAAAAUAACGAGACGGGUCUCUACGAGGUCCGUCAUCGGAAUGGGUACAAUUUAAACCCCUUAACGAGGAUCUAUUGGAGGGCAAGUCUGGUGCCA